Molecule: ribosomal RNA, 253 nt
Filed under: uncultured bacterium
Lineage: Bacteria
Description: partial 16S ribosomal RNA
Rfam family: Bacterial small subunit ribosomal RNA
Source: RNAcentral
UACAGAGGGUGCGAGCGUUGUCCGGAAUCACUGGGCGUAAAGGGCGCGUAGGUGGCGGCCCAAGUCCGUGGUGAAAGCUCGCCGCUUAACGGCGAGUCGGCCACGGAGACUGGGUGGCUCGAGCACUGUAGGGGCAGAUGGAAUUCCGGGUGUAGCGGUGGAAUGCGUAGAGAUCCGGAAGAACACCAGUGGCGAAGGCGGUCUGCUGGGCAGUUGCUGACACUGAGGCGCGAUAGCGUGGGGAGCAAACAGG